UACAGAGGGUGCUAGCGUUGUUCGGAAUCAUUGGGCGUAAAGGGCGUGUAGGCGGUUUGCUAAGUCAUGUGUGAAAUCCCUCGGCUCAACCGGGGAACGACGCAUGAAACUGGCAAGCUAGAGUACCAAAGAGGGGGGUGGAAUUCCCGGUGUAGCGGUGAAAUGCGUAGAUAUUGGGAGGAACACCAGAUGCGAAGGCGGGUCACUGGGCUGAUACUGACGCUGAAGCGCGAAAGCCAGGGGAGCGAACGGG
This 253-nucleotide ribosomal RNA is filed under the name uncultured prokaryote. RNAcentral describes it as "partial 16S ribosomal RNA". It matches the Rfam family "Bacterial small subunit ribosomal RNA", at positions 524 to 776 of the family's 1533-position model. The record is from RNAcentral.